This 107-nucleotide small nuclear RNA is filed under the name Cercocebus atys (sooty mangabey). Lineage: Eukaryota; Metazoa; Chordata; Mammalia; Primates; Cercopithecidae. The record is from RNAcentral.
UUGCUCACUUCGGCAGCACAUAUACUAAAAUUGAAACGAUACAGAGAUUUUUUUUUUGGCCCCUGUGCCAGGAUGACACGCAAAUUCGUGAAACAUUCCAUAUUUUU